GCCGCCGUAGCUCAGCUGGUAGAGCGCCUGGCUGUUAACCAGGUGGUCGCAGGUUCGAAUCCUGCCGGCGGCG
Molecule: transfer RNA, 73 nt
Filed under: Methanobacteriota archaeon
Lineage: Archaea; Methanobacteriati; Methanobacteriota
Description: Euryarchaeota archaeon (marine metagenome) tRNA-Asn
Rfam family: tRNA
About the family: Transfer RNA (tRNA) molecules are approximately 80 nucleotides in length. Their secondary structure includes four short double-helical elements and three loops (D, anti-codon, and T loops). Further hydrogen bonds mediate the characteristic L-shaped molecular structure. tRNAs have two regions of fundamental functional importance: the anti-codon, which is responsible for specific mRNA codon recognition, and the 3' end, to which the tRNAs corresponding amino acid is attached (by aminoacyl-tRNA synthetases). tRNAs cope with the degeneracy of the genetic code in two manners: having more than one tRNA (with a specific anti-codon) for a particular amino acid; and 'wobble' base-pairing, i.e. permitting non-standard base-pairing at the 3rd anti-codon position.
Source: RNAcentral